Molecule: transfer RNA, 67 nt
Filed under: Scrobicularia plana
Lineage: Eukaryota; Metazoa; Mollusca; Bivalvia; Cardiida; Scrobiculariidae
Description: tRNA-Met
Source: RNAcentral
GCUGAAGUAAACUAAUAAGGUUACGGGGUUCAUACCCCCGAUGUGGAGUUUAAUAUUCCCUUCAACA